RNAcentral lists this long non-coding RNA (6166 nucleotides) under Taeniopygia guttata (zebra finch). RNAcentral's name for it is "lncRNA (ENSTGUG00000029448.1)". Lineage: Eukaryota; Metazoa; Chordata; Aves; Passeriformes; Estrildidae. The record is from RNAcentral.
AAGUCAGGUUCCUCUGAAACUGGGAUGCACAACCCAAAAACCUGGUCUGAAGCUAAGGUAGGACCUGCUGCCAGUGGUGUUUUGUGUUGGCUCAUGAGCAACCUGGGAGGUAGCCAUGGUCCUUUUAAACUCUGCAAGGCACAGUAACAUUCAGUGUGCAGGAAGAAUCCCAGUCACUUUGGGGUAAAUCAGUAAAGGAACUCUUUGCAGCGCUGCACUUUGGCUCUCCUCAGUCACUGUCCCGUGAGGAUCAGUUCCUGUGGUCACUGCAGCACUUUCCAUGCAUAAAACCCACAUGUGAGAAUAUCUGAACCCUCUGACACGUCCCAGUGCUUCACAAGUCUCUGUAGAACGUGGAUUCUGGGAUAACGCAGAGGAAGGAGAGUGAUGAAGGUAGCAGGGAUUGGGGCAGGGUAGGUAGAUGGGAAUGAGAAGAAUAAAGUCACAAAGAAAGCAGCAGCUCUGGGAGAAACUCCCUGUUAAAGCACAGCUUGCUGGAGAGAACUUUGGGGUCUUUUAGGGUUAACUCUCUGUGUUUUGAGAACACAAUUCUCCUAAGAUGCUUAAUGGUGAGGAGCCCUGUAAUUUUGAAUUCUCAUGGAACAUUUAUAAUACAGUCUAUAUUGUAUCGUAUCUACAGAGUAUCAUUAUAUGAAAUUUCCUUCUGACUGGAAGAAAUCUCGUGUGCUAGGAUGCCAUUACAUUAAUUUAGAAAUAUUGUACUUGCUUUUACUCAGUAGUAAAUGGAGUAGCUGUCUGAGGAUACAUUCAGUGUCUGGAUACACCAUUUGCUUGGCUAGCUCACUGAGAGAAGCAAGGACUGCAUGCCUAAAGCACAGCACAUGGAGGUGAUCUGGAAGUCACAAAUGUGCAUUCGGCCUUUCUGGGUGUAAAAAGUUAGUUAAGCCUUUAACCUCUCCAGAAAGCUCAUUGACAGGGCUGGUGUGCAUUAACACCCCAACAGGAGUUCAGCUGUCACAGCUCUAAUUUAGUCUGUUCCACAAUUUGUGAUCUGUGAAUUCAGCGAAAGUGAGUGAAUGCUUGUCAGAACAUUUAAUAGCACUUGAUUUUUAUGGAAAUUUCUUUUUUUGUGGGCUACCAUAGACCAAUUCAUUUAAAAUAUCAGAGUCCCUAACAGGUGACAGAGAUGUGAAGAGUGUGAGCAGAUGGAUUUCUGAAGGCCUAAUAAUAAGUUUUGUGGCAUUUUCACUGGUUUGUUUUGGUUCUUUAAUCAAAAAUCAGACUGCAGGAGAUGCUGCUGCUGCAGCUUUUUUUCCCCCCGAAAAGUGAAGAAUGAUGUUGUUUGGUGGAGCUUGUUUGUUGAUGCCAUCAAUUUGCUGUGCUGACAGUCCCAGAGGCAGCUGGACCAGUUUUUGUGACAGAGGAUUCACAUAUAAAUUUCUGCGACAUUAAAAUGGGGCUAUUUUUUUUUUUUUUUUUUAAUAAAAUGGGGUUUUGAAAUAGGAGGAUGUAAGCUGUCAGGUGCCAUCUGAGAUACUAACAUUGUCAUGAUGUAAUCCUGGUAGGCUUCAGACAUGGAAAAAGCUGAAAAUGGAUCUGAGAGUGGGAACAAGAGGAAGGGCACAGCAGUGCUCCCAGAGUAAUUGGUCAGAGGAGAAUGAUUGCAAAGGCAGCUCCUGAUGGGAGCCACUGCAAAGGAGGCAGAGCCCUGGAGGUGCCAGAGCCUGGGAGAGCAGGGGAGCCCUGCCCGUGCAGCACAGGGCACUGCAAACCCCCAGGAUGGGAUCACAGCCAGACAGAGCCCGCUGGGCACCGCUGGGGCUGGACACGGCCUCCUGGCAGGUUCCUCAAGGGAGAGGCAUGGACACAGAAUGCCCAAAGAGGGGAAAAGCCCCAGGGAACGGGAUCAGAUUGUUACAACAGUCAUUUUUCCUUUUGUAAACAGUAUUUAAAGCUUUCUGCUUGUAGAAUGCACUGAAUUACGUAUUUUGAAAGAAAAAAGUGAGAAAUUCUGUUUAGAAGUUUAGGCUAUAUUCAGAGAGGAAACACAUAGGGAUUUUCUCUUUUCUUAGCUUUGACUAUUUAUUUUUCAGAUUUUUUUUCCACUCAAAAUACUUUAAUCAAAAAAUUAUAUUUUUAUCCCAAGAUGAAUCUUUAAAUGCAUAAAUAUAUGUGUGAGUGUGUGUUAUUUUUAAUGUUUUUUUCUCUAACUGGUAAAUUACUGAUGUGUUGUAAUCAACAGUGACUCAGAAGAAAGGGAGACUGACUCAUGGAUCUGAUUCAAGUGUUUGCCAGCACUUUUGGAAGGAAUUUCUUUCAUACAGCCUCACUGCAAACUUACCAUUUACUUACCCAGGCUCUGUGCUCAGUUUUCCUAGGGGGUUUCAUCCCCCUGCCUGCUCUGAAAUGAGGCAGUGAGCUGCAGACACAGAAAUGGAUUCAGUGUGGUGCAGUCUGGCUGUUGAGGCAGACUCAGUCACUUGGAGAAGUGUGAGCUCGCUCUGUCCAAGGAAAGGCUGUAUCCCACACCUGAAACCAGAAGCUCUUCCAAAGGCAGCAGUGCCAAGCUCACUCUUGUGACAAACACUGGAAUGCAGCUGAAUGUCACUGGGGAGCAAGGUGUUCUGUGUCUGACCUACAUGAUGAAUGCAAAUGGUGGUUUUAGGAUCCAAAUGGGAAAGCAUAAAAGGCUACAAAAGCCUUAAUUUAUGUUUGUUCAUUUAAAGCUUCAGACCAUUAAGUGGCCAUUAAAUCACUAUUUUAUAUUCUGUUAAGUGCAUCUCUAUCAUCAGAAUAAAAAGAUUGUUUUAAUUCCCCCUGUAUCAAAUAAAACAUCUUAAUUGAGAGCCUUUGUGAUAACAAAUUGGCUGGAAUUGAAAAGUAAAUGCAUGCUGAGCUCUGACGACAGAGCAUCUUUGUGAUUUGGCUUUUAGUGUCUUGUAUGUGCAUGAACAGUUGCAUUAUACAUCUGUUUAUCUGUAUUUAGAGUUCAAUUACAAAGCUUCUACCCCAGGUAAGACUUCCAUUGCACUGAUAGGGUUCUCCAGAUUGAGGUCGGUCACACUAACUCUUCCUGUAGAGCUCAAAUUAUGAGUUUUUAACCAUUUUACCCUUAGCCUCACUGCUAAGGGCCUCCAUUACUUUGACUGUGUCCUGAAAUGGGGAAUAGACACAAGCAGAUGAGAGAAAAUUGCACAUUCUCCUCCCCUUGGAUAUUUCAAUGCUUGUUUUUAUUGCCAGAGGGACAAAAAUUUUAGCAUCUGCCUUUGGCAAAUGGAGAUUUCAAAGAACAUUGAUAUAGAGAUAUAUUUUGACAUAUUUUGUGAUGACAUUUUGAUUGCACUUAAGCACUGCACUCCUGCAAGGGAACUGGUUCCUUCUUUUCCAGUCAUGAGCCUUCCUAUCACCAGUAUUGCCUGGCCUCCAAUUUUCUCGUGGGGCUGGGAAACACCUCUCCCAGGAUGAAUAACUGGGAUGUGUGUAACUAGGUAAUGGCAUGCUCAGCUCUGCAGCAAGUUGAAGUUCUUGUGCUAAAAACAUCUGAAUUCCCAGAUGGAAAUAUUCAAAGAAAAUGCAGUUGGCAAUCAUUGUUUUUAAAACAAAAUAUAUGAUCCUGUUUAAUGUAAUAAAUGGUUCCAGUGUGGUUAAAGCAGACCCCACUACUCAGUUUUCUGAAGAAAACUUUGGCAUUAGGAAGAUCCUUUGAGAUGCCAUUUUUAGGUAAGGCUGUGUGUUAAUAGUUCAGCAAUGGGAUUCCCUGUCAGUGCAUGCACCUGGCAAGGUCACCCCUGUCCCCCAGGAAGGCUGGCUGGCUCCUGCCAUGGCUCUGUUCUCUUCAGCAGGGGGUUCCCAGCGUGGGCAGGAGAGGCUGAGGAGCAGAAGGGCUGAGGAGAGGACACCUGGAGCUCUGUGCAGCGGGAAAGGCCAGGAAAGGGCAGCCCUGGAGCCUGGCUCCCACAGCUGAUCCCAGGUUUAGAACAUCAGAUGACUCCUAGCAGAUGUGAAAUGCUUCUAGAAGCCAAACAGUCAUUCUGUUCAUGCCCUUUGGACCACUCUCUUGAUGAAAUGGCCCCCAGGACCUGUCCCAGCUCUCCCUGGCUACUUCUGCACCAGCAAACUCCAGAGGCCCCUGAGCCCAGAGAUGUGGAGUGCAGCCAGCUCUUUGUAAGAAUAACUAAAAGAAGGCAGAUAACAAACACUGCCAGUUCCCCUCACUGUCAUCAACAGUGAAGUACUUUGCUGAAGCAAAAUGUUAAGAAGCUGAGACUGGACAUUUGAAUACUUAAAAGUUACUGAAUUUUCUGCCCAACUGGAUGUGGGAAAAGAUGCAGAAGAUAAUGCUCAUGUCUUACUUGUUCUCAAGAGCUCAAUAAGAGAUGAAAAAACUCCAGAAAUACAAAUCUAAAAUGGGUGGAGAGGUUCAGUGCCCAGCUCUGCAGUACUGCCUUGGAGGUGCCUCCUUCUGGCUUUUGUGCCUUGUUUCAUGGGGAGCCUCUCAACAGAGUGGAUUUAACGUGAAACUAAUCCAUCUGUGGAAAGAGAAAAGCCCUCUUGUCACCUGGGAUGUGGAGAAUGAGAGGUGCCUCACUGCAGGGAGGAAGGAAGGAAGGACACCCAGGAUGAAGAGGCAGGAGGUGCCUGUGCAGGUGGGAUUGUUCCCAAAGAGAUUUGGCUGUUCCUGAGGCUGCAGCUGAAGGAGGCACUGCCCUUCUCCAGCCCCCGAAGAGCAUCUGGAGGAGUGGAGAGCUUCACCUGUGCUGGCAUGUUGAAAACCCUGAGAGGCUCCAGCUGCAUUUGCCUUCUGCAGAGUGCUGCUGGGAGUGUAGGACAUCGUACAUCAGUGCCCCAGCACUGAGCCAGGAGCAGUGAGGAGGUGCCUGGAGCACUCUUGGUGCUGUGGGGCAGGGACACAGGAGGGGCUCUCUCAUUCCCAAGGGAAGCUCCCUCAGAAUGGUGAGGCUGCCGAGUGGCAUUCUACAUGGAGCUGGCAGCUUUGUGGCUCACUUUGGGGCUCUCAGCUCUCCACAGACCCAUCACUUCUUCUGUGCUGAGGCUCCUGGUUCGGGCAGCACUCGGUGCCUGACGGCUGCAGCCCAGGACGUCCCCUCCUACCUCGGGAAAAUAUUCCACAGCAAGAAAAUAAAUUGCUUCCUUGAAUUCCAGUUCAAAUUAAUGGAAGUCUGGGGGGGAAGAAACAGACAAACAAACGAAGACCUGCCAAAGGAAAGCCUUGCACCUGUCAGUAACUUGUGAAAAGCGAUUCCUCAUUUCUGAGAUCCCUGCCAGGAAUGGGAGAUUUAGCAAGAGUUUCCAAGUUCCUCAGACAAUUGGAAAUGCCCCAGGUCCCUUCUGCAGCCGAUGUCCUCCUGAGGAUGAUGUGUCACCACGUGAAGAUUGAUCUCAGGAAGGACAAAUCAAUUCUGAAACCCAUCGGAGAGGGAAAUGUUUCGAUACGAGCGUGCUCUGCGGGGUCCAGCCAUGGUCGGACAGGAGGAGUCUCCUCCUCCUCCUCCUCCUCCCACAUUCUUUGUCUUUGCUCUGACACAAACCUGGCCCUGUCUCCCCAUCUCUGGGAGUUGGGCACCCACAUUCUUUCGUGGGAAAAAGGAGAGGAAUAUCUGGCUCCCAGUACCUCCACAGAAGAGUUUGAGUCAUUUACAUGAGGAAUUCAGCGAGCAGAGAUCUUCACUUUGAUCAGAUCUGUCUUUUCAGGAACAAGCUGCCACUCUGGGCACCAAAACAGAUCAUCACAGGAACUACAACAAAGAGCAGUGUUCUGCCAAAGCUGCAGGCAGGAGUCUGUCAGGGAGAAUGAUGGAGCAAGAAGAGCGGAGUUCUAACAGACAAAGGGGGAAGGAAGGAAGGGAGAAAAGUGUCAGAAACUGGAAAAGACUUCAAGGGACACAACACUGCCUAAUGGGGCAGAAACUGAGAGACAAGUGAGCUGCAGUACAGGGUGAUUUGCAUUCCUCCAAGAUGAUUUGUAAAAGGGGAAAAGUUGUAGAUGAAAUGCUUUGAUUCGCCUUUCUCUCACUCUGCCCGUGCACUUGUGUCAUUCAUUUUGUGUAGUAACCUCUACUAAACAGUCAGAGGUUGCAGCAUCAUUUUGGUGCCCUGAAAUUAAGGCAAAAAGCUGCAGUUCUGGAAUUUGGAGCUCAUAGUACCUAACUGGCUGAAGGGAAAAAUAAAGAAGUAAAGAUCAAUG